UUCCAGACUCCUACGGGAGGCAGCAGUGAGGAAUAUUGGUCAAUGGCCGCAGGGCUGAACCAGCCAAGUCGCGUGAGGGAUGACGGUCCUAUGGAUUGUAAACCUCUUUUGUCAGGGAGCAAAGGGCGCCACGUGUGGCGUUUUGCGAGUACCUGAAGAAAAAGCAUCGGCUAACUCCGUGCCAGCAGCCGCGGUAAUACGGAGGAUGCGAGCGUUAUCCGGAUUUAUUGGGUUUAAAGGGUGCGCAGGCGGAAUGUCAAGUCAGCGGUAAAAUUUCGGGGCUCAACCCCGUCGUGCCGUUGAAACUGGCGUUCUUGAGUGAGCGAGUAGUAUGCGGAAUGCGUGGUGUAGCGGUGAAAUGCAUAGAUAUCACGCAGAACUCCGAUUGCGAAGGCAGCUUACUAAACUGCCACUGACAUUGAUGCUCGAAAGUGUGGGUAUCAAACAGGAUUAGAUACCCUUGUA
Molecule: ribosomal RNA, 465 nt
Filed under: uncultured bacterium
Lineage: Bacteria
Description: bacterial SSU rRNA
Rfam family: Bacterial small subunit ribosomal RNA
Source: RNAcentral